RNAcentral lists this ribosomal RNA (351 nucleotides) under uncultured bacterium. RNAcentral's name for it is "bacterial SSU rRNA". It matches the Rfam family "Bacterial small subunit ribosomal RNA", at positions 46 to 384 of the family's 1533-position model. The record is from RNAcentral.
AGCCUAACACAUGCAAGUCGAACGGCAGCACAGGAGAGCUUGCUCUCUGGGUGGCGAGUGGCGGACGGGUGAGGAAUACAUCGGAAUCUACUUUUUCGUGGGGGAUAACGUAGGGAAACUUACGCUAAUACCUGCAUACGACCUACGGGUGAAAGCAGGGGAUCUUCGGACCUUGCGCGAUUGAAUGAGCCGAUGUCGGAUUAGCUAGUUGGCGGGGUAAAGGCCCACCAAGGCGACGAUCCGUAGCUGGUCUGAGAGGAUGAUCAGCCACACUGUGAACUGAGACAACGGUCCAGGACUCCUACGGGAGGCAGCAGGUGGGGGGAAUAUUGGACAAUUGGGCGCAAGCCU